Molecule: unclassified non-coding RNA, 549 nt
Filed under: Hevea brasiliensis (rubber tree)
Lineage: Eukaryota; Viridiplantae; Streptophyta; Magnoliopsida; Malpighiales; Euphorbiaceae
Source: RNAcentral
AAUUAAAAAAAAAAAAAAAGAAGAAAACAGAGUUGCCGAGAAACAGAGAAUGCUGUCGCCACUGUCCCUUCAACACCAAUCACCGUUCGUUCACCAAAUGGACCCGCCGCCACUGUCAAUCCACCGGCGACGUCUAGGCCACCUUUUCGGCGACAUUCCGAUCACCUGCAGCUGCCUAGAAAAGAAGAUCCGAUUGGGUCAAAUCUUGACCCAAAUCUGGACUCGCAAAUUUUCCAAAUUUCUCUUGCAUCUGAUCCAUACCAGUAGCUCUCCUGUCUCUGAUCUGCCCAUUCUAGCUGUUCGGAAACUCAUUCCUACACGUCCAGCUUUAAAAUUUGACGGGUCAGGUAAGAUCCGCCCCAAACCAGGUUGUGCUCACCAAGUCUUUCUGAGCUCCUAUUUGCAUCAGAUUUCUAGUGCAUCGACAACUGCUACAUCAACUCUCUUUGGCCACAUCACUACCACGUCACCUAUCCAACAAUAGAUUGUGCUACAACUAAAAGGAGAAAUUUGAGUUUUCUUUGGAUGAGGGGCGAUUUGAAAUUUUGU